RNAcentral lists this ribosomal RNA (513 nucleotides) under uncultured bacterium. Its description in RNAcentral is "partial 16S ribosomal RNA". It matches the Rfam family "Bacterial small subunit ribosomal RNA", at positions 28 to 523 of the family's 1533-position model. The record is from RNAcentral.
GACGAACGCUGGCGGCAUGCCUAAUACAUGCAAGUCGAGCGAACAGAUGAAGUGCUUGCACUUCUGACGUUAGCGGCGAACGGGUGAGUAACACGUAAGGAAUCUACCUAUAAGCGGGGGAUAACAUUCGGAAACGGGUGCUAAUACCGCAUAAUAUCUUCUUCCGCAUGGAAGAAGAUUGAAAGACGGCUCUGCUGUCACUUAUAGAUGACCUUGCGGUGCAUUAGUUAGUUGGUGGGGUAACGGCCUACCAAGACGAUGAUGCAUAGCCGACCUGAGCGGGUGUUCGGCCACAUUGGGACUGAGACACGGCCCAAGCUCCUGCGGGAGGGAGCAGUAGGGAAUCUUCCGCAAUGGGCGAAAGCCUGACGGAGCAAUGCCGCGUGAGUGAAGAAGGCCUUCGGGUCGUAAAACUCUGUUAUAAGAGAAGAACAAAUUGUAGAGUAACUGCUACAGUCUUGACGGUAUCUUAUCAGAAAGCCACGACUAACUACGUGCCAGCCGCCGCGGUAA